Molecule: ribosomal RNA, 373 nt
Filed under: uncultured bacterium
Lineage: Bacteria
Description: bacterial SSU rRNA
Rfam family: Bacterial small subunit ribosomal RNA
Source: RNAcentral
GACGAACGCUGGCGGCGUGCUUAACACAUGCAAGUCGAGCGGUAAGGCCCUUUCGGGGGUACACGAGCGGCGAACGGGUGAGUAACACGUGGGUGACCUGCCCUCAGCUCUGGGAUAAGCCUGGGAAACCGGGUCUAAUACUGGAUAUGACUCCAUGACGCAUGUUGUGGGGUGGAAAGCCUUGUGCGGCUGAGGAUGGGCCCGCGGCCUAUCAGCUUGUUGGUGAGGUAACGGCUCACCAAGGCUUCGACGGGUAGCUGGUCUGAGAGGACGAUCAGCCACACUGGCACUGCGACACGGGCCAGACUCCUACGGGAGGCAGCAGUAAGGAAUAUUGCGCAAUGGGCGAAAGCCUGACGCAGCGACGCCGCGU